AACGUAGGAGACAAACGUUAUCCGGAGUUACUAGGCGUAAAGGGCGUGCAGGUGGUCUGUUAAGUCUGGCGUGAAAGCUCUCGGCUAAACCGGGAGAGGUCGUUGGAUACUGGCGGACUAGAGGACGGUAGAGGCGUGUGGAAUUCCGGGUGUAGUGGUGAAAUGCGUAGAGAUCCGGAGGAACACCAGUGGCGAAGGCGACACGCUGGGCCGUACCUGACACUAAAACGCGACAGCAUGGGGAGCGAACGGG
This 253-nucleotide ribosomal RNA is filed under the name uncultured bacterium. RNAcentral describes it as "partial 16S ribosomal RNA". It matches the Rfam family "Bacterial small subunit ribosomal RNA", at positions 524 to 776 of the family's 1533-position model. The record is from RNAcentral.